UACGUAGGGCGCAAGCGUUGUCCGGAAUUAUUGGGCGUAAAGCGCUCGUAGGCGGCCUGUUGCGUCCGCUGUGAAAUCCCGGGGCUCAACCCCGGGCGUGCAGUGGAUACGGGCUGGCUGGAGGCAGGCAGGGGAGAACGGAAUUCCUGGUGUAGUGGUGAAAUGCGUAGAGAUCGGGAGGAACACCGGUGGCGAAGGCGGCCAGCUGGCGCUGACCUGACGCUGAGGCGCGAAGGCGUGGGGAGCGAACGGG
RNAcentral lists this ribosomal RNA (253 nucleotides) under uncultured bacterium. RNAcentral describes it as "partial 16S ribosomal RNA". It matches the Rfam family "Bacterial small subunit ribosomal RNA", at positions 524 to 776 of the family's 1533-position model. The record is from RNAcentral.